This 253-nucleotide ribosomal RNA is filed under the name uncultured bacterium. RNAcentral's name for it is "partial 16S ribosomal RNA". It matches the Rfam family "Bacterial small subunit ribosomal RNA", at positions 524 to 776 of the family's 1533-position model. The record is from RNAcentral.
UACGUAGGGCGCAAGCGUUGUCCGGAAUUAUUGGGCGUAAAGAGCUCGUAGGCGGCCUGUUGCGUCCGCUGUGAAAUCCCGGGGCUCAACCCCGGGCCUGCAGUGGAUACGGGCUGGCUAGAGGCAGGCAGGGGAGAACGGAAUUCCUGGUGUAGCGGUGAAAUUCGUAGAUAUUCGGAAGAACACCAGUGGCGAAGGCGACUUACUGGACACAUAUUGACGCUGAGGUGCGAAAGCGUGGGGAGCAAACAGG